CCAACAUGCUACUCAGCAGAAUUGUGAUAUUCGUCAAACCGAUGCGCUAGAAAAAUGCUUAGUUGCUGUUAAUAGGUCUUCAGUUUUUAGGGAGAAUGUUGCAGCACCAACUGCUGUUGCGCAUGGGGUCGUUUAUGAUAAUAAGUGGACAGAGGCUGAAGGCACAAUUAUUCUGAACGCCAAGCAAACUGCACAAAAGAGAGGUGAAUUUUCUAGGACCGGUGGGCCUUCUUCUUACUUGGCUUCUAUGGUUCAACUUAAUGAAGGUAGUAAUUCUAAUAUUAAUUCGCAUUCUCUUCAUUGCUCAGAUAUGCCACAGAUUUACCCAGUUGCUGCUCCUAGGGCUGCAGAGUCUAGAAAAAAUAAUGAUGUACCUUUUGAUGUAGUGAGCAGGACUGUUGGUAGAGAGGGGCAUGUAGAUGCCGAUGCAUUUAACCUGAACACCAUAUGCCAUGACUCUGGGAAAAAGGCAGCUGCACC
This 480-nucleotide unclassified non-coding RNA is filed under the name Zea mays. RNAcentral's name for it is "misc RNA Zm00001eb032910". The record is from RNAcentral. Lineage: Eukaryota; Viridiplantae; Streptophyta; Magnoliopsida; Poales; Poaceae.